CACGCAGGCGGUUUGUUAAGUCAGAUGUGAAAUCCCCGCGCUUAACGUGGGAACUGCAUUUGAAACUGGCAAGCUAGAGUCUUGUAGAGGGGGUAGAAUUCCAGGUGUAGCGGUGAAAUGCGUAGAGAUCUGGAGGAAUACCGGUGGCGAAGGCGGCCCCCUGGACAAAGACUGACGCUCAGGUGCGAAAGCGUGGGGAGCAAACA
This 206-nucleotide ribosomal RNA is filed under the name uncultured bacterium. Its description in RNAcentral is "partial 16S ribosomal RNA". It matches the Rfam family "Bacterial small subunit ribosomal RNA", at positions 568 to 774 of the family's 1533-position model. The record is from RNAcentral.